UACGUAGGGUGCAAGCGUUGUCCGGAAUUAUUGGGCGUAAAGAGCUCGUAGGCGGCUUGUCGCGUCCGCUGUGAAAACUCGGGGCUUAACCCCGAGCCUGCAGUGGAUACGGGCAGACUAGAGGCAGGUAGGGGAGAAUGGAAUUCCCGGUGUAGCGGUGAAAUGCGUAGAGAUCGGAAAGAACACCAACGGCGAAAGCACUCUGCUGGGCCGACACUGACACUGAGAGACGAAAGCUAGGGGAGCGAAUGGG
This 253-nucleotide ribosomal RNA is filed under the name uncultured bacterium. RNAcentral describes it as "partial 16S ribosomal RNA". It matches the Rfam family "Bacterial small subunit ribosomal RNA", at positions 524 to 776 of the family's 1533-position model. The record is from RNAcentral.